This 248-nucleotide unclassified non-coding RNA is filed under the name Glomeraceae sp. Its description in RNAcentral is "partial contains 5.8S ribosomal RNA and internal transcribed spacer 2". The stretch from base 1 to 71 matches the Rfam family "5.8S ribosomal RNA", at positions 84 to 154 of the family's 154-position model. Lineage: Eukaryota; Fungi; Glomeromycota; Glomeromycetes; Glomerales; Glomeraceae. The record is from RNAcentral.
GUGAAUCAUCAAAUUUUUGAACGCAAAUUGCACUCCCUGGUAUUCCGGGGAGUAAGCCUGUUUGAGGGUCGUUAGAAGAAAAAUCGACAUAGUUGCUGUUACGCGUUAACAUUCGUCGGAAAUAGGGUCAUCUUAAACUUUUGGGUUUAAGCGGCUUAAAAUUUUCUUUACGAUUCCACGAACGUUUCUAAGAUUUUACUUCUUACACGUUUAAGGUAUCCAUCUUUAUUAGACGUGGCCGUUUGAUC